Molecule: ribosomal RNA, 697 nt
Filed under: Escherichia coli
Lineage: Bacteria; Pseudomonadati; Pseudomonadota; Gammaproteobacteria; Enterobacterales; Enterobacteriaceae
Description: bacterial SSU rRNA
Rfam family: Bacterial small subunit ribosomal RNA
Source: RNAcentral
GGCGUGGCUUCCGGAGCUAACGCGUUAAGUCGACCGCCUGGGGAGUACGGCCGCAAGGUUAAAACUCAAAUGAAUUGACGGGGGCCCGCACAAGCGGUGGAGCAUGUGGUUUAAUUCGAUGCAACGCGAAGAACCUUACCUGGUCUUGACAUCCACGGAAGUUUUCAGAGAUGAGAAUGUGCCUUCGGGAACCGUGAGACAGGUGCUGCAUGGCUGUCGUCAGCUCGUGUUGUGAAAUGUUGGGUUAAGUCCCGCAACGAGCGCAACCCUUAUCCUUUGUUGCCAGCGGUCCGGCCGGGAACUCAAAGGAGACUGCCAGUGAUAAACUGGAGGAAGGUGGGGACGACGUCAAGUCAUCAUGGCCCUUACGACCAGGGCUACACACGUGCUACAAUGGCGCAUACAAAGAGAAGCGACCUCGCGAGAGCAAGCGGACCUCAUAAAGUGCGUCGUAGUCCGGAUUGGAGUCUGCAACUCGACUCCAUGAAGUCGGAAUCGCUAGUAAUCGUGGAUCAGAAUGCCACGGUGAAUACGUUCCCGGGCCUUGUACACACCGCCCGUCACACCAUGGGAGUGGGUUGCAAAAGAAGUAGGUAGCUUAACCUUCGGGAGGGCGCUUACCACUUUGUGAUUCAUGACUGGGGUGAAGUCGUAACAAGGUAACCGUAGGGGAACCUGCGGUUGGAUCACCUCCUUA